Molecule: long non-coding RNA, 258 nt
Organism: Rosa chinensis
Lineage: Eukaryota; Viridiplantae; Streptophyta; Magnoliopsida; Rosales; Rosaceae
Exons: 3
Source: RefSeq, a predicted model, not a curated record
GGAGAUCGUUGUGGUAUAUAUGGAUCAAAUUGCUCCCAAUGGAUUAUUGCAAUGGAGCUUUUGAAGCCCGAUAUGUUUUUAAAGAAGAUGGAGAGAGAGGUUAGAAGAAGAUGAAGCGGAAGAGGAGAUUGAGUACCAUAUUAUGAGAGUUGAUAGGACUGACGACCACUAAAUGCUGAAGAAUGGAGUGGAUUUAUGUUAUGAUGCAUAUAUAUGGUCGAGUAAUGUUUAAAUGUAGUGUUAUGAACGUUGUCAAAU